Molecule: long non-coding RNA, 1381 nt
Organism: Papaver somniferum (opium poppy)
Lineage: Eukaryota; Viridiplantae; Streptophyta; Magnoliopsida; Ranunculales; Papaveraceae
Exons: 3
Source: RefSeq, a predicted model, not a curated record
UGACUCUACCAAUGGGAACCUUAGGAAAGAGGAGGAGACGAAUUGGCUGCUGCUAUUGAAGGUCUCCUACCUCACCCUAAUUUGGAGAUAUUGAACAUCUGGGUUAUCCCCGGUUUAAAGCUUCCGAAGUGGGUGGGUUCAUCUUCUUGUCUUCCAAACUUGGUGGAAUUAAGACUUGUAAACUGCAACAGCUGUCGAAAUCUUGAAGGCCUAGGUCACCUCCAAUGUCUUAGGGUUCUUAUUUCGUGUUUGGGCAUAGAGGAGUUUUAUUACCAGCAGGAAGACGAAGGAAACAAAGGUUCUGCAGAUACAACAACAUUCACUAACCAAAUUGAUCAUUUCUGGGAUAACUUAGAAGAAUGGGCUGUACCUUCACCACCUCAUAAUUGCUUCCCUUGCCUUGAGGAAAUAAGGAUCCACUGGUGCAGUAAUUUGACAUCUAUUCCAGAUUUACGAUUAUGGACUGCUCUCCCCUUUGUUCAAUACCUAUGGGUUGAUCCUGAUUUUGGUGAUUGUGAUGAUGAUGAUUCCAAUAAUUAGACGAGGGUGUAGAAGUAAAUCAGCUAGCCCUGCUAAAGUUCGCAUUAGCAAACAACAAACUUCAACAGGAUUCAAUUUGGAAUUGCAACGGAGCCAUCUAUAGAACACAUAUCCAGCACGUUAUUAGUUUUCGUUAAAAGCUUUCCUACAGUCUACAGAGAUAAAAAAAAACUACAUUUGUAUCGAGAAGUAAGGGGCUCACCGGAAGAGUUGAUUAAUUGGAGAUUUGAUUGGGUGAUGAGGGAUUGUGAGAGGUUGAGUAUGUGGGAGCUUGAGGAUGGCAAUUGGUUGAAUAUAUGAUUUGCCCCUCAGCAGGUGCUGGUGGUUGUGGUUUCAACCUAGUUGGGAUGACAGUCAUAGUGAUAUGCUUUCUCUUUCAAGUUGUAUUUUGCUUCGUUCAGAACCUUUUUUUUUUUUUUCAACUUAAUGGAGUUCUUCGUUCUGAUGGAUACCCAGAGUCUGUUAUUAUUCGCAACUGAAAAGUGGAAACAUGUAUAAAAGAUGCACAAAAAUUUUAAACAACCAUUUGGCUGCACCUCUUCUGUUAAUUCAGCAGGGAAUGUAGCAAUAUUUCGACAGGUUGCCCUUCCGGUCCUGUGAAUGGUGCAAUCUCUGAGCUUGCUGCUGUGCUACAACCUCUGCACGGAUAUCUGGAGGGACGGCUGCUAGGAAUUCAGGAUCUACAUCAUUUGCUGCUGUGCCACUUGACCUUGUUGAGCAGAUAGUGCUUCAGCAGGCAACUCUGAUAGUGCAUCCAGGAAUGCAGAACACUUUUUACCCGCUCCUUGAUCAGAAUUUUCAGAAACUUCCAUCUCUGCUACUAGGUGGCGCGGGUUUUGCU